CCUACGGGAGGCAGCAGUAGGGAAUAUUGCUCAAUGGGGGAAACCCUGAAGCAGCAACGCCGCGUGGAGGAUGAAGGUUUUCGGAUUGUAAACUCCUUUUGUUAGAGAAGAUAAUGACGGUAUCUAACGAAUAAGCACCGGCUAACUCCGUGCCAGCAGCCGCGGUAAUACGGAGGGUGCAAGCGUUACUCGGAAUCACUGGGCGUAAAGAGGGCGUAGGCGGGAUAGCAAGUCAGAUGUGAAAUCCUAUGGCUUAACCAUAGAACUGCAUUUGAAACUGUUAUUCUAGAGUAUGGGAGAGGUAGGUGGAAUUCUUGGUGUAGGGGUAAAAUCCGUAGAGAUCAAGAGGAAUACUCAUUGCGAAGGCGACCUGCUAGAACGUAACUGACGCUGAUGCGCGAAAGCGUGGGGAGCAAACAGGAUUAGAUACCCCAGUAGUC
Molecule: ribosomal RNA, 440 nt
Filed under: uncultured bacterium
Lineage: Bacteria
Description: partial 16S ribosomal RNA
Rfam family: Bacterial small subunit ribosomal RNA
Source: RNAcentral